AUGUACUCCGCUCCAGGCAACAACUCUUUGGCUCUUGCAGCCCCACGGCCAGGAAUGGAGCUGGGCAACGUGCAGCAACAUCCUAACCAGGCUUUUGGCCUUGGGCCUGGUGGGAAACAACGCUCAUCCAGUCUGGAGGCGCCGAUAAUGCUACUCACAGGCCACCAGAGCGCUGUCUACUGCAUGAAGUUCAACCCUGCUGGAACUGUGAUAGCAUCGGGCUCCCAUGACAAGGAUAUCUUCCUGUGGUAUGUCCAUGGUGAGUGUAAGAACUACAUGGUACUGAGAGGGCACAAGAAUGCUAUCCUUGAUCUUCACUGGACCACUGAUGGGAGCCAGAUAAUCUCUGCAAGCCCUGACAAGACUUUGAGGGUUUGGGAUGUUGAAACUGGCAAGCAGGUUAAGAAGAUGGCUGAGCACUCAUCCUUUGUCAACUCAUGUUGCCCGUCACGUAAGUGGCCACCUCUUGUUGUGAGUGGAUCGGACGACGGUACAGCAAAGCUCUGGGACCUGCGUCAGAGAGGGGCUAUCCAAACACUUCCAGACAAGUUCCAGAUUACUGCUGUGAGCUUCUCAGAGGCUGCAGAUAAGGUUUUCACUGGUGGCCUGGAUAAUGACGUCAAGUGGUGGGAUCUUCGCAAGAAUGAAGUCACAGAAUCUCUGAAAGGACAUCAGGACAUGAUAACUGGGAUGCAGCUUAGUCCUGAUGGUUCGUACCUCCUCACCAAUGCGAUGGACAAUGAGCUCAAGAUCUGGGACCUGCGCCCGUACGCACCAGAGAACCGCAACAUCAAGACCUUUACAGGGCAUCAGCACAACUUUGAGAAGACCCUGUUGAAGUGCAGCUGGUCACCCGACAAUCGCAAGGUCACUGCUGGGAGUGCUGAUCGCAUGGUCUACAUCUGGGACACGACAUCGAGGCGGAUCCUGUACAAGCUUCCUGGGCACAAUGGUUCCGUUAAUGAGACCGCUUUCCAUCCCACCGAGCCCAUCAUCGGAUCCUGCAGCAGCGACAAGCAGAUCUAUCUCGGCGAGCUUUAG
RNAcentral lists this ribosomal RNA (1041 nucleotides) under Triticum aestivum (bread wheat). RNAcentral's name for it is "partial small subunit ribosomal RNA". The record is from RNAcentral. Lineage: Eukaryota; Viridiplantae; Streptophyta; Magnoliopsida; Poales; Poaceae.